GAAGAUUCUUAAAGGCCUGCUUCUGCUUCGACGUCUCGAAGAACUCUGGGUCGCAGAUCGGGUCCUGCGUCGAAUCGUCGGGUUACCGAGAAGUCUGGAGAUUCGAUAAGUCAUUUAAUUACUUGACGCUCACGGGGAAGUGUUCAGCCGGGUAACUGGUCAGCCACAAACGGAAAUCCGGAUGGACGGUUUCUGGGGUGAGAUUCUCGCAGAUCUACGCAGCGGGAAGGACACUCUCAAUAGUGGACAGGCAUCCAGCUUUUCGCCAGGUGGCAGUUUUGAAGGACGACCCAUGUGCCAUUCUUAAUACCCUCGUCGAUAAGAGUCACGG
Molecule: long non-coding RNA, 331 nt
Organism: Cephus cinctus (wheat stem sawfly)
Lineage: Eukaryota; Metazoa; Arthropoda; Insecta; Hymenoptera; Cephidae
Exons: 3
Source: RefSeq, a predicted model, not a curated record